AUGCCUCUCUCUUUAUAUCGUAGACUUGACUUGAAUAUGUUGACACCUACUGAAAUAUCUUUGCAAAUGGCUGAUAAAUCAAUUGCUAUACCUGUCGAUAUUUGUGAGGAUGUGCCUGUUGUGGUUGCAAACGUUACUAUUUUAAUGGACUUUGUUAUUCUUGAUAUUCCCGAGGAUGAUAGUAUGUCUAUUAUUCUUGGAAGACCUUUUUUGAAUACUGCAGGGGCUGUUAUUGAUUGCAACAAGGGCAAUGUCACUUUUCAUGUUAAUGGUAAUGAGCAUACGGUACACUUUCCGAGGAAACAACCUCAAGUCCACAGUAUCAAUUCUAUUGAAAAAAAUUCAUCGAUUAUUUUUGAAGGUUUUGAAUUUCCUUUACCUACUGUCAAGAAGAAAUAUGAUAUUCUUAUUAUUGGGGACGUGCAUAUCCCCGUUGAGGUAACAUAG
Molecule: ribosomal RNA, 447 nt
Filed under: Triticum aestivum (bread wheat)
Lineage: Eukaryota; Viridiplantae; Streptophyta; Magnoliopsida; Poales; Poaceae
Description: partial small subunit ribosomal RNA
Source: RNAcentral